UUGACUGCCACACCUUUCGUAUCCUCAGGGAAUGAAUUUCUUGGUGGUUCCCGCACGUCCUGGUGUCAUCUGUGAGCUCUCUCUCCAAACCUGGCUCAUUUUCUCAGCCCCUUUUGGCCUCUGGGGUCCUGGGACCUGUGAGCACAGCUCCCGCAGCAGGAUUUUCAACAGGUCUACAAGAUAUAAUGCUGAGAAAGGCUAAUAAAUCAAGAAUUCUCUACUUAGCCACAGAUAGAGAAAAUGGCUUCUGAAGAUGAGAUCUUCUAAAAGCUUGGAGAAGAAAGAACAGAAAUUUCUUUAAAGGCCUCUGGCUACGAUGUCUUUUAACUCCAGUUUAUAGGAACCAUUCACAGGAACCCUCUGGGAAAUAGCUUUUUGCUAAGAAAGCACCACAGACAACAAGCCAACUCCCAGGUUGACUGGAUGCUGCCUACAAAGAUCUUGGAGAUUGCAUUUGCAAAGGCUUCCAGAGAAGAUUGAGGCAUCUAGAUGCAAUGGACUCUGGGUGUCAGAUAAUUGGAGACUUCAUCCUACCGCCAAGGCUAAGUCUGCAGGAAGAGGAGAAGCCCUUGCCACAGCAGAAGACAACCAGGACGUGAUGUGUGAACAGCAUUCUGCCCCCAAAGGUGGCUAAGAAGCUUCUACUUUUCCCCCUUCUUAGCUUUUCAACACAGAAUGGGGAUGUCCAAUCCCUCUUAUAUGGUGGGAUGUUUAAGUAAACACGUACUUUCUGAGGAGGGGCACACGUAUGUGGCGAUAGCGGUAAUAGUAGUAUGUUAUGUCUGUGCGGUGGCACCUUCCAAUAUGUGAGAACACCUGGAUAUCUAUUCUGACCUCAGAAAGACCCAGCUAUACUUAGAGCAAAAUGUUUAUGGACUUUUCUUUCCCAGGAUGUAAUUGAUUCCUCUGGUGACAGGGCACAGAGCUAGUCAGUAGGGCUGAAAGCAGAUAUAAUAAUACUCCUUUAGGACAUGUGGUAGAACUGUUUUCCACCAACCCCCUUUGCAAUGAGCUGUGGCCAUCUGACUUGCUUUGCUCACUAAAAUUUGGGUGGAAAUAACUUUGCCACUUUCUGUUGAAGCUUUAAGAGUUACUGGACCACCUUUUCUCUUACCUGCCAAUGUGACUGGCAAUGGUCUGGUGAUGGCUGCUUCCAAAGCGAUGUCUGACUUGGAACAGAGCCCCUGCUGACCCUUGAUGGACAUACAGGGAGAAUGGGAGAAUUGCCUUAUUUGUUACUGCAGCAAUGCCUCCUCUGUUCUACCUGAUUCUCCUAAGCUCUGGGAAGGGUGGCUUCUAGCUGCCAACAGAAGGAAUCUAUUUUCCCAGUUCAUAGAAACAUCUCCAUAGAUGACUAUUUGAAAAAAAAAAGUCUCACUUUGAGUCCAGGAAAAUAUAUAUGACGUAGGCCACAGGAAAGAACAAGGUUCCAUAAAAAAUUUAACCUUAUAUGGUUUUACUAUGGAAGGAAAGAGAAUUAACCAGUUUUUUUUCCUGUUACUUUGUUAAAGUUUAUUAAACAAAUGUCUUUCUUUCUAAGCCUGUGUUCAAUUUACAGCCUCUACAACAUGCGUAUGUGUGUGCUAUUCCCACUUUUUAUCUGAAUGCAUUUUGUCCCUAAACAGAAUUGAGGUGUGAGAUCGUGAGCCAAUCAUGAUUCAACAGUAAUAAAACCUGGCAGCAUUGUCUAGA
Long non-coding RNA from Suricata suricatta (meerkat), 1692 nucleotides. RefSeq lists it as uncharacterized. The record is from RefSeq and is a predicted model, not a curated record. Lineage: Eukaryota; Metazoa; Chordata; Mammalia; Carnivora; Herpestidae. The transcript has 3 exons.